This is a long non-coding RNA of Schistocerca nitens (vagrant locust), 1163 nucleotides long. RefSeq lists it as uncharacterized. The record is from RefSeq and is a predicted model, not a curated record. The transcript has 2 exons. NCBI's taxonomy places the organism in Eukaryota, Metazoa, Arthropoda, Insecta, Orthoptera, Acrididae.
UGUGGGCAUUGCUGAAAAUAGUAACUUGGAUGCAAGUGAAACAGGAACGCACUUGGACUGAAUGGGCUGUUCCAAGAGGAAGUGCAUGUAUGUGUGCAUACUGUGAUCACUGUGCCAAACUUUCACAUCUGUUAACAGUCUGAAUAUACUCUGUUGAAACACCAGGAGACAAAAUAUGCAGUACAGAACCUGUAAUUAUGUCAGUUUCCUGAUUCCAUUGUAUCCCAACAAAUUAUUGUAUGCAUGUCUGCUAACAGCACUUCUUAUGCUAGAAGGGUGUUUUCAUCAUACAGAAAGCACCUUUUUGUGGAGGUACUGCUGCUUAUUAGAAAUGUGCUAUUAUUUACAUCAACUGGAAAUGGCUGAUAAACAAAGAACAUUUAGUGCUACAUAAUCAAUUGUCAAUUUUUAAGUGAAUUGUACAGAAAUUGUAAAGAUUAUUGUUGAAGAAAACAAAUUUGUGUUUAGUGUAUGUGGCAGAUUUAACCUAGACUAUAAAAUUGUUAACUUCUAAAAAUGAUUUUUUUGGUUUCUAAAUAUGAGAAAUUCUAAUGUCCUUCCUGUUGUUAAGAGUUUGUCUGUUUUUUGACUUGUCUGAACUGCAAGACCUACUACAUGCACAAUUAUUCACAAUAUCUGGGUAUGUAAAAUUAACACACAAUCAUAGAUGCUAUCUCUGGUUAAAUGGUUUGCUUGAAAUACAAUAUACACAUAGUGUGUGGUUUAAAUGGUUUAAAAUGGAAGAAAAGCUUACCUUUUCACAAAUCUGCUAUGUUACCUAUUUAACAUGAACAACUGAUACAGUCUGUAAUUUGUCAUUUUGGUAUGAUGUGUAUACUUUGGCCCAAAGAAAUAUACUGCCAAAGAAGUUGAUGCUAUGCAAGAACAAAAAAAGUAUGUUAUUUUCAACAAGUAAGGAAAAUACUGGAAUUGCGUGUAUAGAAGAGAUCAAUUUAAACUUCUUGUAAGGACCACUUAAAUGAAUUUAUAGUUUUGUUUGUUGGAUUAAUUGUUAAGAAUAAUUAUUAAAAUGAAGCUUAUUGUAAUUUAAUGUUUGUACAUUAUAAUUGUAGAAUGUUUGUAUAAUUGAUUAUUCAAUGAGUUACUUUUUAUACUCUUCCAUACUCUGAUACAAAUUGGUAAUAAAAAAUUUGGUACUAUCA